Podarcis lilfordi (Lilford's wall lizard) is the source of this 74-nucleotide non-coding RNA. Lineage: Eukaryota; Metazoa; Chordata; Lepidosauria; Squamata; Lacertidae. The record is from the annotation of a GenBank genome assembly.
GCCUGGAUAGCUCAAUUGGUUAGAGCGUGGUGUUGAUAAUACCAAAGUUGCAGGUUCAAGGCCCAUAUGGGACA